This 253-nucleotide ribosomal RNA is filed under the name uncultured bacterium. RNAcentral's name for it is "partial 16S ribosomal RNA". It matches the Rfam family "Bacterial small subunit ribosomal RNA", at positions 524 to 776 of the family's 1533-position model. The record is from RNAcentral.
UACGUAGGGGGCUAGCGUUGUCCGGAAUCAUUGGGCGUAAAGAGCGUGUAGGCGGUCCGGUAAGUCCGCUGUGAAAGUCGGGGGCUCAACCCUCGAAUGCCGGUGGAUACUGUCGGGCUAGAGUGCGGAAGAGGCGAGUGGAAUUCCUGGUGUAGCGGUGAAAUGCGCAGAUAUCAGGAGGAACACCGGUGGCGAAGGCGGGUCUCUGGGCAGUAACUGACGCUGAGAAGCGAAAGCGUGGGGAGCGAACAGG